UAGCUCAGUCUGUAAAGAAUCUGCCUGCAGCGCAGAAGACCCAGGUUCAAUCCCUGG
Molecule: transfer RNA, 57 nt
Filed under: Ovis aries (sheep)
Lineage: Eukaryota; Metazoa; Chordata; Mammalia; Artiodactyla; Bovidae
Rfam family: tRNA
About the family: Transfer RNA (tRNA) molecules are approximately 80 nucleotides in length. Their secondary structure includes four short double-helical elements and three loops (D, anti-codon, and T loops).
Source: Rfam by way of RNAcentral